Molecule: ribosomal RNA, 274 nt
Filed under: uncultured bacterium
Lineage: Bacteria
Description: partial 16S ribosomal RNA
Rfam family: Bacterial small subunit ribosomal RNA
Source: RNAcentral
AUACGGAGGGUGCAAGCGUUACUCGGAAUCACUGGGCGUAAAGCGCGCGCAGGCGGUCUUUUAAGUUGGAUGUGAAAGCCUACAGCUCAACUGUAGAACUGCAUCCAAAACUAUUAGACUAGAGUCUGGGAGGGGAAGAUGGAAUUAGUUGUGUAGGGGUAAAAUCCGUAGAGAUAACUAGGAAUACCAAAAGCGAAGGCGAUCUUCUGGAACAGUACUGACGCUGAGGCGCGAAAGCGUGGGGAGCAAACAGGAUUAGAAACCCGAGUAGUCC